This 253-nucleotide ribosomal RNA is filed under the name uncultured bacterium. RNAcentral's name for it is "partial 16S ribosomal RNA". It matches the Rfam family "Bacterial small subunit ribosomal RNA", at positions 524 to 776 of the family's 1533-position model. The record is from RNAcentral.
UACGAAUGGGGCAAGCGUUGUUCGGAAUCACUGGGCUUAAAGCGUGCGCAGGCGGAUUCGGAAGUCAGGAGUGAAAUCCCGGGGCUCAACCCCGGAAUUGCUCUUGAAACUCCGGAUCUAGAAUCCGGUAGAGGUUAGGAGAAUUCCUAGUGUAGAGGUGAAAUUCGCAGAUAUUAGGAGGAAUACCAGUGGCGUAGGCGCCCAACUGGACCGGUAUUGACGCUCAUGUACGAAAGCGUGGUGAGUAAACAGG